RNAcentral lists this ribosomal RNA (433 nucleotides) under uncultured bacterium. Its description in RNAcentral is "partial 16S ribosomal RNA". It matches the Rfam family "Bacterial small subunit ribosomal RNA", at positions 29 to 507 of the family's 1533-position model. The record is from RNAcentral.
AACGAACGCUGGCGGCAUGCCUAACACAUGCAAGUCGAACGAGACCUUCGGGUCUAGUGGCGCACGGGUGCGUAACGCGUGGGAACCUGCCCUUAGGUUCGGAAUACCUCCCCGAAAGGGGUGCUAAUACCGGAUAAUGUCUUCGGACCAAAGAUUUAUCGCCUUUGGAUGGGCCCGCGUUGGAUUAGCUAGUUGGUAGGGUAAAAGCCUACCAAGGCGACGAUCCAUAGCUGGUCUGAGAGGAUGAUCAGCCACACUGGGACUGAGACACGGCCCAGACUCCUACGGGAGGCAGCAGUGGGGAAUAUUGGACAAUGGGCGAAAGCCUGAUCCAGCAAUGCCGCGUGAGUGAUGAAGGCCUUAGGGUUGUAAAGCUCUUUUACCCGGGAUGAUAAUGACAGUACCGGGAGAAUAGGCACCGGCUAACUCCGUG